UGGGCUGCCAGCUGCAUCUCCUCAAGCUGUUGUUUAUACACGCCAGCAUCUCGCAUGGAUGCUGGAUAAGGAACUCACAUGCUCAAGCCUUCACAGCAAGCAUGUCCCCAACUGAGCCAUCUCCUUGGUUCAGAAGAUUCCAUUUUCUCAAGAAUUCAGAAUAACUAGGAGUUAACUGGGCAUCUCACAAAGAGUGACAAGGUUAAUUAUUCUCAGCUGUCUCUGGAAGAUAGGCAGCAAUUUUUUUUACCUAAUCUCCAGGAGCAUGGGGAAGAAAACGGUGAGUGAGUGAACAUUUUUAUUGCUUAAAUUUAUUUCCUUUUAUUUUUUGAGAUCCAACUUUGUAAAUCAGGCUAGUCUCAAACACCUUGGCCACAGUGAGCCUCUCUGCUCAGUCUCCCAGUACUAGGACCACAGACACACACCGCUGCCCUGUGCCAGCUGGGGGAAAUCACAAUGCAAGCACCUUAAACUUCAGUAUCUUUGCUGGAUCCCGGUGAGCCUGUCCCGGAAAAGUGGGACUAUUUAUGAAGGGGAUCCUUGCAAUUUGAAAUUUGUCUUGGGUUCUUACUAUAAAAUCUUCGGGAGUCUCCAGUGUGUACCAUGGCCCUGUUUCCAGACUGAAAUAUGACCUGAUAAUGAGAUAAUAAGUAUUCCAAGCUGGCCUCAUCUGGUUUUCAGUAUUCUCUUCUAUGAGUAUCACAUAGAUGACAGAAGAUGGCUGGUUAUUUCCAAGGAAAAAAGUUCUUCCUUGUAAGUGAGUCAGACUUACAAGUUCUGUAUGUGAAGAUUUUGUUCUUGUUGUUGGUUGGUUGGUUUUCUUUUGUUUUUGUUUUUGUUUUGUUUUGAGACAGGGUGUCAAGUAGCCCAGGAUGGCCUCAAAGUUGAGCUACAGCAAGGAUGCCCUUGAACCCUGACUUCCUGCUUGUACCUCUCAAGUGCUGGGGGGCACAAGUAUGUAUUCCUAAACUUGGUUUAUGUGGUGCCAGAAAUCAAAUGCAGGGCUUUCUGCAUCAACAGGUGAGCACUCCACUAACUGAGCUACAUCC
Long non-coding RNA from Mus musculus (house mouse), 1049 nucleotides. RefSeq annotates it as predicted gene, 40221. The transcript has 3 exons. Lineage: Eukaryota; Metazoa; Chordata; Mammalia; Rodentia; Muridae. The record is from RefSeq and is a predicted model, not a curated record.